GACGAACGCUGGCGGCGUGCUUAACACAUGCCAGUCGAACGGAAAGGCCCUGCUUUUGUGGGGUGCUCGAGUGGCGAACGGGUGAGUAACACGUGAGUAACCUGCCCUUGACUUUGGGGUAACUUCAGGAAACUGGGGCUAAUACCGGAUAGGAGCUCCUGCUGCAUGGUGGGGGUUGGAGAGUUUCGGCGGUUGGGGAUGGACUCGCGGCUUAUCAGCUUGUUGGGGGGGUAGUGGCUUACCAAGGCUUUGACGGGUAGCCGGCCUGAGAGGGUGACCGGCCACAUUGGGACUGAGAUACGGCCCAGACUCCUACGGGAGGCAGCAGUGGGGAAUAUUGCACAAUGGGCGGAAGCCUGAUGCAGCAACGCCGCGUGCGGGAUGACGGCCUUCGGGUUGUAAACCGCUUUCGCCGGUGACGAAGCGUGAGUGACGGUAAUGUGUAAAGAAGCACCGGCUAACUACGUG
RNAcentral lists this ribosomal RNA (468 nucleotides) under uncultured bacterium. Its description in RNAcentral is "partial 16S ribosomal RNA". It matches the Rfam family "Bacterial small subunit ribosomal RNA", at positions 28 to 507 of the family's 1533-position model. The record is from RNAcentral.